GCAGCAUGGUAGGUAGCAAUACUUAUUGAUGGCGACCGGCGCACGGGUGAGUAACGCGUAUGCAACUUACCUAUCAGAGGGGGAUAGCCCGGCGAAAGUCGGAUUAAUACUCCAUAAAACAGGGGUCCCGCAUGGGAAUAUUUGUUAAAGAUUUAUCGCUGAUAGAUAGGCAUGCGUUCCAUUAGGCAGUUGGCGGGGUAACGGCCCACCAAACCGACGAUGGAUAGGGGUUCUGAGAGGAAGGUCCCCCACAUUGGUACUGAGACACGGACCAAACUCCUACGGGAGGCAGCAGUGAGGAAUAUUGGUCAAUGGCCGAGAGGCUGAACCAGCCAAGUCGCGUGAAGGAUGAAGGAUCUAUGGUUUGUAAACUUCUUUUAUAGGGGAAUAAAGUGUGGGACGUGUUCCAUUUUGUAUGUACCCUAUGAAUAAGCAUCGGCUAACUCCGUGCCAGCAGCCGCGGUAAUACGGAGGAUGCGAGCGUUAUCCGGAUUUAUUGGGUUUAAAGGGUGCGUAGGUGGUAAUUUAAGUCAGCGGUGAAAGUUUGUGGCUCAACCAUAAAAUUGCCGUUGAAACUGGGUUACUUGAGUGUGUUUGAGGUAGGCGGAAUGCGUGGUGUAGCGGUGAAAUGCAUAGAUAUCACGCAGAACUCCAAUUGCGAAGGCAGCUUACUAAACCAUAACUGACACUGAAGCACGAAAGCGUGGGUAUCAAACAGGAUUAGAUACCCUGGUAGUCCACGCAGUAAACGAUGAUUACUAGGAGUUUGCGAUACACAGUAAGCUCUACAGCGAAAGCGUUAAGUAAUCCACCUGGGGAGUACGCCGGCAACGGUGAAACUCAAAGGAAUUGACGGGGGCCCGCACAAGCGGAGGAACAUGUGGUUUAAUUC
Molecule: ribosomal RNA, 892 nt
Filed under: uncultured Porphyromonadaceae bacterium
Lineage: Bacteria; Pseudomonadati; Bacteroidota; Bacteroidia; Bacteroidales; Porphyromonadaceae
Description: bacterial SSU rRNA
Rfam family: Bacterial small subunit ribosomal RNA
Source: RNAcentral